GAUACAUGAAUUAAAUAUUGAAAUGCAUAUUUUUUUUUAAAACUAAUUUGCACACCAAGUAUAUGUGAAACACAAUUGACAGAUAUGAUGGUUUUUAGAAUUCAAUGGAUCUUUUAGUAAUUUAAUAUUCAGAAAAAGAUGUCAUAUUUUGUUGUAACGAAUCUUCCAAUAGACGUUAUUGGUGAUAUUCUUUUUUUUAAUUAAGUUUGGGUAAGAUUGAAAGUGAUGAGCUCCUGCUUAAGUAUUGUUUCAUUUGGUAAUUUACUGUGAAGCUUUGUGAGUACAUGUAUCAUGAAUGAUUAUGCUACUCAAGAUUGGUUUAUGAUCAGCUACCCCCAAAACCCUUCUAUUGUAUUUGGUCUCUGAAAUAUGCAACAUGUUAAUAGAUUAGAUCACAAACUUUGAAAUAAUUAAGCUAGGCUGUUCAAUUUGAGAAUUGGAGUUCAUUGGGUUUAGGCCUUGAAUUGGUAUCCUUUUGUGUAUACCUGUGUAUCAUCCAGAAUGGUACCGUGAUGCCAAUCAGGACCACCAUGAACUCUGUGCUUCCUGUCUCCAUCAUGUCAUCUGUACAUUGUACUAACUUGUAUUGAACUACUCUAGCUCUUUGCGGAUCUUGGGGAUCUGAAUUAAUACAUUAUUCAAUUUCUAUAGGCAGUUGCUCAUCAUCUUGUAAUAAAAAUUAUUGGAGGUUUUCGCUGGUUUUACUCAAUCCAGGCUUAAAACUCGGCUUCAUAUUGCACAGUUGGUGAAGGUGGAGGAUACAUCAGCUAAACUUAAGCAAGCUAGUGAAACAUAAUAUCAAGUUGAAGUUAGUGUCAUUUUGUCUGUUUGCUUAACAGAUGAUCCGACAGUUGUGUUUUGUCAUAUUUCAUCUAUUCUGUCUAUUUUAACCAUUUAUGUGUCAUGAUUGCCUGCAAAUUGUGGUGUCCUAGAAAUCUUGCAAUCUCUUGAAACUCAAACAAUGCAAAUAGACUUUGUUUGUAGUUUUUUUGUUUAAAAUUUAUGGGGCAAUAAAAUGAUGUUUGAACUUUUUUUUGCACCAAUCUCUGAUGCGUGCUAGAUGGUCUAGAUGGUUUGAUUUCCAUACAGGCAACGAAGAAAAUUACACCGCCAAACUUGCGAAAGACUUUCAGGCAUAUUUGAAAGUCUGCUUAGAGGGAGACGGCGAGUACUCCUUUUGUUCCCCAAGCCAUCUUCCUUCUAGCUACUCAGCAGGCGAUGCAGAUAUAAGAGUCCGAUACAGUGAGCUCGUCUUGUGAAUCUAGGAGUUGCAUUUGCUACACUUGUUGAGAAGACCACGGUGAUGUUUCCGAAAGUGCUUUAGUAUUGGUGUUCCGUGGUGCAGGUGACUAUUCAUAUGCUAUCAUAUCAUUUUUAUCAUUUGUCCCCUAAUGUUGUGUUGUUGGGUUCUCAUUUUCUUGGAUUUUUGACUAAUUGGAGCGUAUUUCUUCAUUGUUUUUGCUGCUCUGAUUAAUUUAUAUAGUAAUAAUAGCGUUUGUGUUCUACCACCUUGCAUAUUGGCUUCUUUGCUGCUGAAAUUCUGUUAUUGUUCUCCAUUUUCAACUUUCUUGUUCACAGCAUAUAUAGACAACUAAUAUAUUGUAGAACUCUUGUAAAGCUAAUCUACUCUUGUGGUAGAGAUUGUGUUCUUGCUUGAGUCCAUGUUGAAGUAACUUCCUCCUUGCUUAUACAACUC
Sesamum indicum (sesame) is the source of this 1696-nucleotide non-coding RNA. Lineage: Eukaryota; Viridiplantae; Streptophyta; Magnoliopsida; Lamiales; Pedaliaceae. The record is from RefSeq and is a predicted model, not a curated record.